AAACCCGUUGGAAUACUCGUGGUCUCAGUUCCUUCCCGUCCCGCCGCCCCGGCCCGACCCACUGCUAGGGCUGCCCAGGAGGAGGGAGGCAGGAGGGAGGCCGGGAAGUCCAGGUGGGCAGCUCUCGGCAGACCCUGGGCCUCUUUAACACGCCUCUUGUUUUCUCUUCCAGUCUCGGAAGGGUGCUGACCUGGACCGGGAGAAGAAGGCUGCCGAGUGCAAGGUGGACAGCAUCGGGAGCGGCCGCGCCAUCCCCAUCAAGCAGGGGAUCCUGCUGAAGCGGAGCGGCAAGUCCCUGAACAAGGAGUGGAAGAAGAAGUACGUGACACUCUGUGACAACGGGCUGCUCACCUAUCACCCCAGCCUGCAUGAUUACAUGCAGAACAUCCACGGCAAGGAGAUUGACCUGCUGCGGACAACGGUGAAAGUGCCAGGGAAGCGCCUGCCCCGAGCCACACCUGCCACAGCCCCUGGCACCAGCCCCCGUGCCAACGGGCUGUCCGUGGAGCGGAGUAACACACAGCUGGGUGGGGGCACAGGUGCCCCCCACUCGGCCAGCAGCACAUCCCUGCACUCUGAGCGCCCCCUCAGCAGCUCGGCCUGGGCUGGCCCGCGCCCUGAGGGGCUGCACCAGCGCUCCUGCUCCGUUUCCAGCGCCGACCAGUGGAGUGAGGCCACCACUU
RNAcentral lists this small RNA (683 nucleotides) under Pongo abelii (Sumatran orangutan). RNAcentral's name for it is "processed transcript". The record is from RNAcentral. Lineage: Eukaryota; Metazoa; Chordata; Mammalia; Primates; Hominidae.